CUCCGGAGAGGGAGCCUGAGAACGGCUACCACAUCCAAGGAAGGCAGCAGGCGCGCAAAUUACCCAAUCCCGAUACGGGGAGGUAGUGACAAGAAAUACCGAUUCAGGAUCUUAUUGGAUCUUGAGAUUGGAAUGAGUACAAUUCAAACCCAUUAACGAGGAACAACUAGAGGGCAAGUCUGGUGCCAGCAGCCGCGGUAAUUCCAGCUCUAGUAGCGUAUAUUAAAAUUGUUGCAGUUAAAACGCUCGUAGUUGAACUUUGGGCUUGGCUGGCUGGUCCGCCUCACCGCGUGCACUGGUCCGGCUGGGCCUUUCCUCUUGGGGAUCCACAUGCCCUUCACUUGGGUGUGUUGGGGAACCAGGACUUUUACUUUGAAAAAAUUAGGGUGUUCAAAGCAGGCAUUUGCUCGAAUACAUUAGCAUGGGAUAAUAGAAUAGGACGUGUGGUCUUAUUUUGUUGGUUUCUAGGACCGCCGUAAUGAUUGAUAGGGAUAGUUGGGGGCAUCGGUAUUCAAUU
RNAcentral lists this ribosomal RNA (517 nucleotides) under Hesperomyces virescens. Its description in RNAcentral is "SSU rRNA". It matches the Rfam family "Eukaryotic small subunit ribosomal RNA", at positions 381 to 903 of the family's 1831-position model. Lineage: Eukaryota; Fungi; Ascomycota; Laboulbeniomycetes; Laboulbeniales; Laboulbeniaceae. The record is from RNAcentral.